RNAcentral lists this ribosomal RNA (458 nucleotides) under uncultured bacterium. RNAcentral's name for it is "partial 16S ribosomal RNA". It matches the Rfam family "Bacterial small subunit ribosomal RNA", at positions 338 to 795 of the family's 1533-position model. The record is from RNAcentral.
CCUACGGGUGGCAGCAGUGAGGAAUAUUGGUCAAUGGCCGGAAGGCUGAACCAGCCAUGCCGCGUGAAGGUCAGUGCCCUAUGGGCGUUAAACUUCUUUUGUGCGGGAGCAAUAAUGGUCACGUGUGGGAUUUUGUAUGUACCAUAUGAAUAAGGAUCGGCUAACUCCGUGCCAGCAGCCGCGGUAAUACGGAGGAUCCGAGCGUUAUCCGGAUUUAUUGGGUUUAAAGGGUGCGUAGGCGGGCUGUUAAGUCAGCGGUAAAAGCCCGGGGCUCAACCCCGGCGAGCCGUUGAACCUGGCUGUCUUGAGAUGUCGAGAGGUAUGCGGAAUGCGCAGUGUAGCGGUGAAAUGCUUAGAUAUUGCGCAGAACUCCGAUUGCGAAGGCAGCAUACCGGCGGCGAUCUGACGCUGAGGCACGAAAGCGUGGGUAUCGAACAGGAUUAGAUACCCUUGUAGUC